GGGACCAUGGGUUAGCCUGGUAUACUUCAGCGUUUGGGACGCUGCGACCCCGGUUCAAAUCCGGGUGGUCCCA
Molecule: transfer RNA, 73 nt
Filed under: Halobacteriales archaeon
Lineage: Archaea; Methanobacteriati; Methanobacteriota; Halobacteria; Halobacteriales
Description: tRNA-Pro
Rfam family: tRNA
About the family: Transfer RNA (tRNA) molecules are approximately 80 nucleotides in length. Their secondary structure includes four short double-helical elements and three loops (D, anti-codon, and T loops). Further hydrogen bonds mediate the characteristic L-shaped molecular structure. tRNAs have two regions of fundamental functional importance: the anti-codon, which is responsible for specific mRNA codon recognition, and the 3' end, to which the tRNAs corresponding amino acid is attached (by aminoacyl-tRNA synthetases). tRNAs cope with the degeneracy of the genetic code in two manners: having more than one tRNA (with a specific anti-codon) for a particular amino acid; and 'wobble' base-pairing, i.e. permitting non-standard base-pairing at the 3rd anti-codon position.
Source: RNAcentral